RNAcentral lists this ribosomal RNA (386 nucleotides) under uncultured bacterium. RNAcentral describes it as "bacterial SSU rRNA". It matches the Rfam family "Bacterial small subunit ribosomal RNA", at positions 28 to 417 of the family's 1533-position model. The record is from RNAcentral.
GACGAACGCUGGCGGCGUGCUUAACACAUGCAAGUCGAGCGGUAAGGCCCUUCGGGGUACACGAGCGGCGAACGGGUGAGUAACACGUGGGUGACCUGCCUCUAGCUCUGGGAUAAGCCUGGGAAACCGGGUCUAAUACCGGAUAUGACUCCAUGACGCAUGUUGUGGGGUGGAAAGCCUUGUGCGGCUGAGGAUGGGCCCGCGGCCUAUCAGCUUGUUGGUGGGGUGAUGGCCUACCAAGGCGACGACGGGUAGCCGGCCUGAGAGGGCGACCGGCCACACUGGGACUGAGACACGGCCCAGACUCCUACGGGAGGCAGCAGUGGGGAAUCUUGCGCAAUGGGCGAAAGCCUGACGCAGCGACGCCGCGUGAGGGAUGACGGCCU